Long non-coding RNA from Brassica napus (rape), 1613 nucleotides. RefSeq lists it as uncharacterized. Lineage: Eukaryota; Viridiplantae; Streptophyta; Magnoliopsida; Brassicales; Brassicaceae. The transcript is spliced from 4 exons. The record is from RefSeq and is a predicted model, not a curated record.
AAUCCAUAUCUUUAUUAAUAAAGUAGAGAUAUCUGCUCUCUCAGACCAGCACAUCAGCAAGAAGGGUGGGGGGUUUUUGCGCCACCUGGCACUAUAAAAAAUUAAGACAUCGACUGAUUUUGUAACUCAUAUGUGCUGGACCAUUGCAUCCUUUUCAUAAUCUCUCACCCAACAAAUUCAACAAAGCAGCCUAACUCUAAAACCUCGACAAAGCCCAUUUGUUGAAACCCUUCUUCUUUGAUUGUCUUCGCCCGAUCACAUCCUCCUCACUCACGGCGAUAACAAAUUGGAGUUGUAACGUCUUUCGUCCUCAUUGAAUCCUUUUCAUAAAUUUUACCCACUAACUCUUUCAUUCAAAUUCUCCCAAGACGUUGCUUUUAGUUUCCCAUGACCUCAGCCCCACCGCAAAUCCCUAAUUUCUACUACUAUAAAUAGGGAUGCAGAAUUCUCGAAAUCUCACAGCUUCACUCGAUUCAACCUUCUGCCUCCUCACACACACAAGCAGCAACUAUGAUUUCAUCCCAUAUAUUUCUCUAUAAUUUGAAGCCCAGUUGUUGUUCUCAAACGGUGGUAGCGCGUCUUCUGUGUUUCGGGGAAGCACGCAACGUCAAGAAAGGAGGGGAUCUGAUGGGAGUUGACAUAGUGCUUCUUGAUGAUCCACACUGCUGCAAGGGUGCACCGGCUUCACACUUUCAAACACCUUCUGAAAGAGGGAGACAUUUAGGAGAUCAGUGGCUUUCAUGUUGCAAGAACUAUCACCCACUUCAAGCUGUCAGAUUCAACCGUAGUCCAAAUAUUGAAACAACCAAUGGCUGGGUCUACAUUUCAUGCUCAAAAUGUUCUCGGAAGCUUCAGCGUGGCCUAUCUUGAUUCACAUGUACAUCAUGUCACACUAGCGCCGUAUCGUGUGGAAAUUUCCAUGACAGAUGCGACAGACUCGGCUGUGUUUGUGUUGUUUGACUAAGAGAUGUCUAAGUUAGUGUGCUUGCGGCAGAAGUCGUCGAGUUCAUGGUUGCAGGUGUUGGCGACCCCCUUGAGCUUCCACCUUUUACCUAAGAAAGUGUUGGGAAAACAUACAAGUUCCAGCUGAGCUACUAAAGUUCAAUUUUUCCACAAAGCAUCAGACCUUCACUGUGUCACACAUCUUUGAUAUGCCAUUAUCGCAAAUCACGUAAGCCUUAUUAAACUAAUAACUUUGCACUCUUCUGCAUUAACAUGUUAUAAGGGAAAUGGACAGAGAGGGAACUAUUUUCCAGGAGAUGAAAUGCCUGGUGCUAAAUGUCUCUCUUGCAACUGCACUGAUGGUCGAAGGUCAAGUGGUAAUGUCCAGAGCAACAAAAUUGAUGGAAAACCUUCGGACCAGGCGAGCCCAUGAGAAGUUUCAGCUGCACAACACAAUUGGGAGGGGAGCGUUCUAGAUGCAGACCCGGUUCAAGUUGCAUGCAACAAACACCCCCAAAGAAGUCAUGCACCGGAUAGUUGAUUAAUCUAUUGACCUUGAGACCUCACUCUUUCUCUUUUGGCUCAUUGCAGUGUUGUUUUACAUGUCUGGUAUUUCUCUCAAGCUCCAUUUAAAUGAUGUUUUUGUAUCUAAAAAUCUCAGUUUUAUGGUU